CUCAGUUGCCUCGCAGUCGCGCGCUCUCUUAGACGCUUUCGCUCCCUCCCGAUCGACCCGCUCCACUCCGCUCCGCUCCACUCGUGUGCAUAUGGCUAAUUAACUGAAUAUCAAAGACUCCCCAAGACGCGCGCGCGCACUCUGGUGGCGUUACAUUGUGAAACUCUUCAAUCCGAUACGGAUCGGAAAAGCCCAGAGGCAGAUGGUUCUUGUUCCAUAAAAGCGCAUGCCCGCUGCGAUAUUGGUUUCACUUUACGCCGGCUAAGGCACAGGCACAGGCAUAGGCCCAACAUUAAACCUCUCUCUCUCUCCGAUCAAAGCAAAUCAAAAACUGAAUUCGGAUUCGAAACCGAAAACAACAACAACGGUUCAUCAGAAACUAAAGUGAAAAGCAAACCGACUAAUUGAAGUGCCUGUCUUUCACUCUCCCUCCAUAUCUCGCUCUCUUCGUUUCGCAAGCGUGCAAGGGAAACAAACAAAACGGAAUAAAAAGCCCAUCGGAGCCAAAGAGCCACCGCACAAAAUAUUUAUAAAUAUAUUAACCAAACGACAACUACGACGGCAGCAGCGACAGCAACGGCAACAACAACAACUACAACUACAACUAAAACAUCGUCAUUAUCAUCAUCAACAAUACUACCACUACCAACAAAAGCCCGGCAUUAACAUUUAGUCGUGCCAGUUUAUUUAUUUUAUAUACGGGUAUACGCCAAGCUCAUAAAAAGCAGCUACAAAAACUGCGGAAAAAAAAACAAAAAGUUGAAGCAAUAAGAAAAUCGGUAUAAGCCCCAGACCAAGCGAUCAUCGCCGCCGCUAUAUACACUUGUACCUGUAUACCAAAACCCGACACAGACGGCUGCCCUCCAGAGCCGUCCACAGAAUCCCCUAUACCAUACAGGAGUACGAGAAUACAGAGCCGAUAUCGGACAAGAUGCCGCCCAUGUGGUACCAGCUGAUCAAAAUUUUGGUGCUCCUCUUCGCCCUCUUUACCACGAUAGUUUGUAUCAAUAGCGAAAUAUCGAAACGACGUGAAGCUGAGGCAGCGGCAGCGGCUGCAGCUGCAGAAUUGGCCGCCAUGGCAGCUGCCGGAGCUGCGGGAGGCGGAGGCCCUCCCAACUCCACAGAUAUGUCCGACUUUAUGUCCGAUAAUCUGCUGCACAUCCUACGGAACAAGGCCAAGGAGCAUCCAGACAUACAGGAAGGAAGGGAUCAUCAGUUGCGGCCGGAGGAGUUGCCCGCCAAGGAUCUCGAUCUAAUCAUAACUGAGAUUUUCAAAGUGACCGACGACGCAGGUGUACAUAUUUUUGAUACAACGAUAACGGACAAUGCACCCCUCAUGCCCAUACACACCAUGAUCGACCACCAGUCCCAGCCCCAGCAACCGACACAGCCACUGUCUAAGCCACAGCCACAGCCACAGCCACAGCCAAGCCAUUACCAUCAAUAUCACAGCCUGAGCCAACAAGAUCAAUACUUCAAAGUGCAGCGCUCACCGGACGGCAAGCUGAAUCUCGUCUUUAACGAUACGUUCGUCUCUUUGCAGGGGACCAAUCCGGCAACGGUGCCAGAGCAACAGGAUCCGGCCCAAAGGACGCGACAGCCGCCAGAGAACCCUAUUGUCUUUCCCGAUUCAGCAGUCAUGCACCACAUGAAGACCACCACGCUGCCGGUGAUCAAGAGGGAUAUACCCCAGUGUGUCGAGGAUCAAGCCAAUCACAAAUCCAAAUCCUUCUGCACCCAGGUCGAGAACUAUCCGGAUCUGUCGCUCAUCAAGGGAAAACUGUCGCAGAACUUCUCCAAUUUCUUCAGUGAUCCCGAGCCCGUGCCCGUGGAUAUCAGUUCGCGAUUGGGCCCCAAUGAUGAGGUUUUCCUGUGCAGGAGCCGUCGGAGGUACCUGUACCCCAAGUCGGGCCUGAAGUCGGACAACACCUGGCAGUUCAUAGUCAACAACGAUGAGUUCAAGCAAGGCAUAAUGAUCGAAGAGUGCGAGAACGAGGAAAUGCCCUGUGACUACUCCUUGAGCUUUCCGCAGCGAUAUAAGCCCAUCUGUAAGCAGAACUAUGCGUUGCGAACGCUGGCCAGCAUCCGCAAUACGAGCGGCGAGCUGGAUGUGGGACAAGAGUCCUUCAAGAUACCCUCCUGCUGCAAGUGUGUGCUCAAAGUCCUCUAAGCGAGUUAUUGAGUCGCUCGAGUAGCUGCGAAAAUGUGAUUUGGAGGUAGGAUCACAAUUUAUUAUCCUUCAAACGAUUGGAACAUUGCAAUUUAGAAAUUAAGCGAUCACUGCAACAAAACGGACGAACAUCUGGACUAGGGGACGGCCACUGCAUCCACUGCAUCUCCGGCCAUCUACUUGACUAACUUGCGCAGGGUGUAGCCAACGGCGUAGAAUCCCACCAGCUUCAGGGCCAUUCCCUUGCUCUCCACCUUCAUCUUGGUCUUUAACUUGUUCUCAAUAUUUCCGAAAAAGCGAUCCAUUUUCACGAACUGAUAAACGGCAAACUUUUGAAUAAGAAAAUAAUUAACUACUGAUUGUUUGGUUUGGGGAUUGUUGGAAGCCAAAAAAUAUGAGAGUUUUACGUGUGAAUGUUUGAAACAGAUUUCACAGAAUGAAGAAAAAGCACAAAAGUUUCACCCACCACAGGAUGGCAGGCCAAACUGUCCAGGGGUCGUUGUUUUAUAAUUUGUAUUUUAAUGCACAAAACAUAUGUAUAAUCCACCCAUGGAAUAAUGCUGAUCCAAGGCAGAGUCCGAUUUAAGUUAAGGCACUUUAAUUUCGUUCUUCAUCGAGUCAGUGUAAACAUAUUCGUGUCAUAUCUCCGCGACUGGUUUCCCUGUGUCCAGUGUCUAAGCUAAGCUGCAUGCAAUUAUAUUGUAGUCCUAGAGUACGAGAAAUCAUUAGAAAAAUGUAUGUUUAAAAAAAUAUAAUGUACAAUAAAUGUAUGCAAGUACAUGACAACAAA
RNA transcript from Drosophila miranda, 2960 nucleotides. It is a transcript of the gene named protein spaetzle, with no coding region annotated. Lineage: Eukaryota; Metazoa; Arthropoda; Insecta; Diptera; Drosophilidae. The transcript is spliced from 7 exons. The record is from RefSeq and is a predicted model, not a curated record.